UGAACUACGGAUAUUUUUAGGUGUACGAAUUAACUAUCGUCAUCACAAAUGAACACGUGGUGUUCGCGGAUUGCGGACACGACAUCGAUUAAACUGUUCCAAUUAUUUGCUGCGUUUCCUCUAUUUACAUCACCUUACACCUUCCAAUCUGAAGAAAUAGGAUCUGUUAUUACAAAGAAGAUUGAAUUAUUCUUACUCAUGGAAUAAAGUAUAAAUACCUCUUUGGCCAUUUUGCAAUAUGGGCAGCGAGUCUUGGAGAAUAUCACGAUUGAAUCCUU
Camponotus floridanus (Florida carpenter ant) is the source of this 278-nucleotide long non-coding RNA. RefSeq lists it as uncharacterized. Lineage: Eukaryota; Metazoa; Arthropoda; Insecta; Hymenoptera; Formicidae. The record is from RefSeq and is a predicted model, not a curated record. The transcript is spliced from 2 exons.